This 397-nucleotide ribosomal RNA is filed under the name uncultured microorganism. RNAcentral describes it as "bacterial SSU rRNA". It matches the Rfam family "Archaeal small subunit ribosomal RNA", at positions 330 to 735 of the family's 1478-position model. The record is from RNAcentral.
GUGCACCAGUCGAGAAACUUUACAAUGUGCGAAAGCACGAUAAGGGAACUCUGAGUGCCUCCUAAGGAGGCUGUUCAGGUGUCUAAAAGCACCUGGAGUAAGGGCUGGGUAAGACCGGUGCCAGCCGCCGCGGUAACACCGGCAGCCCAGGUGGUAGCCACUUUUAUUGGGUCUAAAGCGUCCGUAGCCGGUUGAGUAAGUUCCUUGGGAAAUUUGGCUGCUCAACAGUCAAGCUUCCAGGGAAUACUGCUCGACUUGGGACUGGGAGAGGUCAGAGGUACUCCAGGGGUAGGGUGAAAUCCAUUAAUCCCUGGGGGACCACCGGUAGCGAAGGCGUCUGACCAGACCAGGUCCGACGGUGAGGGACGAAGGCUAGGGUCGCGAACCGGAUUAGAUA